This 8415-nucleotide long non-coding RNA is filed under the name Sorghum bicolor (sorghum). RNAcentral's name for it is "long non-coding RNA (SBIC_LNC001593)". The record is from RNAcentral. Lineage: Eukaryota; Viridiplantae; Streptophyta; Magnoliopsida; Poales; Poaceae.
UCAUGCAAACCAAGGACAAUGCAAACACUGAUAGCAGAAUCAACGGCAAAAAUUAGGAAACAUUUCAACCAACAAAUCAAAAAAAUUCAAAUGGGAACACAUAGCAUUAAGACAAGCGCAACAAAAGGAAAAAAGAUACAACGUCCAUCUCUAUUCUUAUUUUUUCUCUUUUUGUGUGUGUGUUUGGGGGGUUGGGGGGCUCAGCUUCGCCUUUGCUCAUUCAUUCAACCAUAUCCUCAUCAUCUCUGAUCACCAGAUCAACUUGUUCUCAUAAAUGAACCUGCCCUGGUUAUCACCCAUGAAGAAUGGCAUGACCAUCCAAGGACAAAGCCACUACCGUUAGAACAUAAUUGAAAAGGUUUCCAAGAGAAAGAAGAGGAUUCCAGUUUGGUUCCCAUAGCAGCCUUGAUUGCUCAAGGCGCUUAUGUCAGCCAUGGUUGUUGAUCAUUGCCCGAGAUGAGAAUAAUUUGUACUUUCUUCAUUCUUGAGGGGCACUUUGGUACGAACUUAUGAGAUGGAACUAACUUGGCAUAUUAUUAGUCCCACUAACAAUGACUCAGGUCCCAGGUUCAAAUCCAGCAGGAAGGAAAGUGAAGAACAAACAGAAUAGAAGAUCCCAGGGACCAGCUCAGAAGAUAGUGCAUAAGUUCUAUAAUGGAAAGUUCAAUCAUCAUAGCCAUUGAAGAGUAGUACAAGACAAAAAAGGAAGUGACAACACACAAGGCAUCAUGAUUCAUGAUAUAAACCAUAAAAAUCUUUUGUAUAGGUAAACACCAGAAAUAAGUGAAAUAUGUCCCACAUGUUUGCAGAAAGAAUUGUGGGAGAGGAGACAAGAGGAUGUAGUUUCAGGCCUCUUUGGAACGCAGAUUUCCCCAUGUGUUCUCCAAACCACCACCCCAUCAGCACCAGACUAGAACCCAUUCCUAGUGGCGCCGCAAGCAACGGCAAGGGAAGGAGAUCACCAAUUGCGCCGCCGCCGUUUCUAUGCAUGGUCUAUCCAUCAAUCUAUCUAUACAUCCAUUAGGAGUUAGGGAAGAAGGGCUGGAGGUGCUGCUGCUGGUGCUGGCUGCUCAACAUGUCCCUAAUGCCAAGUUCUGACAUCAGCAUGUAAGCAAAUUUUCUUGAUUGGAAGAAUUUGAAGCGGAGAAUAGUUGCAAAGACGGUAGAGAGAGAAAAAAAAAGAGAGGGCUCAGCUUCACCUUUGCUCAAUCAUAGAAACCAAGCCCUACCUUCCCUUGCUGCACAAUUUACCAUCCUAAUGUAAGUGGCACUGCACUGGUUGUCACACAUAUCCAAAUGACCUUCCUAGGCAGAACCACAAACAAAAAGGGAUGAUUAAAUGUGCUUCAAGAGGGGAGAGGGUCAGCUCUAAUUAGAUACUUGCAGCAGCUUUGAUUGGUCAAAGGCAUGCAAUCAGAAAAGGUAGACAUCAUCGCCCUUCAUCAGCACUCGAUUCACAGGUUCAGGCCCAAUUCCAUGUAUUACACGGUCACCCAAAGUAAAUUUCACUUGCAAUGGCCACUGGGUGCUUACACCCAAGCCAGAAAAGCACCUCUUUAUAUCUCAUCAUCACAUAUCCUGAUCCCAUUCAGGGCAUCCGCAAGGGAAGAUGAGAGAGAGAGAGAGAGAGAGAGAGAGAGAAGCUCGCGAGGUGAGCUGGGGAAGAAAAGGCAGGGAUGAACGGGUCAUCCAGAGCACAGCACAGCACGGUGUAGGCAACAGCAGGGGAAGUAGAUCACCACUGCAGCCCCGCCGCUGUUUCUAUCCAUGGUUCAUCCAUCCAUCAGGUAAGCCGCAUCAGGCACCACCACACGGUUCCCAGCCCCGCCAGGGAAUGGAACGGCGGCGAGGCAGCACCGUAGAGAUGGCAGUGUGAAGCGACGGCCGAAACUGAGAAUGGUCCGUGCACGGCCUCGAUUUCCACUAGACAAAUUUAUUAAGCCUAAUUAAUCCGUCACUGGCACAUGUUUAGGGUAGCACCACAUUAUGGACUAAUUAAACUUAAAAGAAUCGUCUCACAAAAUAGACGUAAUCUGUGUAAUGCUCCAUACAUGUGUCUCAAGAUACCAUGGGAGUAACAUUAGAGGGAGGAACUAAACAAGGCCUUAGGGCACUCACAAUGCAGACUCUAUCAUAGAGUCUCGCUCAUAUGGUAUUUCGAGCUGUUAUAAUGGCACACAAGUAAAAGCAUCAAUAAUUACUCGCUCCGUUCCAAAUUAGAAGUCGUUGUGCCUUUUGGCACGACGACGGCGAGGACGAGGCGAAGGCCGAAGAGGAGAAGGACGAGGAGGAGGGGGCAGAGACCAUACCAAAACGAAACAUCCGCGACCAAUAUGCUCGAAAGCAAACCCAUCAAUGGCGGCUCAGAUCCCGCGUCGCCCGACCAUGCCCGCGACCGGAAGCCGCCGCGGACCCUGCCCCCACGGUCCCCAACCCCAGCCCCCGCCGCCGCAGCACCGUCGCCCGCACAAGCGUCCGCAAUCCGACGCGGCGCGUCGCGGCGGGGAGAGGGGUGGCCCCGGGGAGGCGCGGAUCCGAGGACGGCCGGCGCUCGGGAGCCGGUCCGGCGCCAACCGCGGCGCCCUUCCUCAUCGCCGCCGUCUUUGUUGCCAGGGCUGUGGGUUUCAGUGGUGUGGUCACGGGCCGCCGCGAGUGGGAACAAGCGGCACGAAUGGCAGAUUUGGAGGGAGUAGCCUCAGAGGGCUCGGCUCGCAUGCUCCGCCGCCGCCGCCGCCGCCGCUGCCCACACGCGGUGGCCUCACACUUAAACUAACGAGUGAGUAUUCUGGUCGGAGACGACGAGGUUUUUAUGCGGGGCUGGGGAGGAGGGGCCCACUCGCACGCGUCCACUGCCAGUCCAUCACCGCUCAUGGCCGAGCAGCCGUGGACCUUUAUUUCGGCCCAAAUCUAACUAGCUUCCUGGUUCAUGGGGCCCAUACGUUAGAUGCUACUCCUACGGAAUUUGGGCAACAAAACAUGUCCAUUUGGUUUUUCUACAGAAUUUGAAUUUGAAGAGAGAAAAAAACACUUCACGUAUGUCUGCAACAACACCAUCCAAUCAUGCCAUUCCGAGAUGAGAGCCAGAGCCGAUGCCUCCAAGGUUGAUGGACCAGAGCUGCCAGCACUAAGCAUGCAGCCGGGACGUCAGUCUCUCUCUACAGUACUGUACUCCCUAGGCCAUGGCCCAUCAUCCCUCACUGUCAUAGUCAAAGGCAGAGGCAGCAUUAAGGCCUUGUUUAAUUCAAACAAAAACUAAAAACUUUUCAAAAUUUCCUGUCACAUCGAAUUUUACGGUACAUGCAUGAAGCAUUAAAUAAAUAUAGACAAAAAUAAAAACUAAUUACACAGUUUAUCUAUAAAUCGCGAGAUGAAUAUUUUAAGCCUAGUUAGUCUAUGAUUGGACAAUGUUUGUCAAAUAAAAACGAAAGUGCUACAGUCCCGAAAACCAAAAAGUUUUCGAAACUAAACAAUGCCUAAGACCUUGUUUAGUUCGCAAAAAUUUUUGGCUUUGGCUACUAUAGCACUUUCAUCUCUAUUUUAUAAUUAUUGUCCAAUCAAGGACUAACUACGCUCUAAAGAUUCGUCCGCAAAUUACAGACAAACUGUAUAAUUAAUUUUUGUUUUUAUUUAUAUUUAAUGCUCUAUGCAUACAUCCAAAGAUUCAAUUUGACAAAGAAUCUUGAAUUUUUUUAGAAACUAAACCAGACCUAACCUGUCCCUCCAAUACAAAGGAUUUGGCCCCUAGCUAGCUGAGCCAAACCACACUCCCUCCAGGAUUUACCAUGUGCACACUAGUGCGCGCGGGCCGCGGGGCCACUCUCGUGUUUGGAACAAUGACAUUUUCAAUUAGUGAAGGGAGUCUAAUACAAUCGAACAAAAAAAAUGAGUCUGAAAUGCAAGCGAAGAAUCAGCUCGUGUUUUAUGACUAAAAUCCAGAGAUCAUUGAGUGGAGGAAACUUUGGCCAAUUAGCGUGCACAGCAGAGCAGUUCUACUGGUAAGCUUAAAUGAAACAAGGAGAACAGAAAGUAAGUGCUGCCACCAAAAUCAAGAAACAAAGAAAGAAAAGAAAAGAAAAGAAAAUAAGAAAAAAAAUAAAAAAUUGCACAAGAGACUGAGCCAUAACUCCAACAAGGGGGCUAAACUUCUUUUGACCAUAUGAACCAGCAAGGACAAUUCUUUGAAAAAAAAAGUUGCUUGGAUUCAAGCAAUUCUUUGAAAAAAAGAUGCUUGGAUUCAAGCAAGUUGGCAGGCUUCCUUCUAAAGAUGAGUUUAUUUCUAGCUUACCGAACUGCCCAACAUAUUAGAACUAUCAAAUUCAUGACAAAGAAAGAAAGAAAGAAAGAAAGAAAGAAAGAAAGAAAGAAAUAAAUAAAUAAAUAAAGAAAUAAAGGAAGAAACGAGAGCCUAGCAGAUCUGAGCUGUAUCAACUGCCUGCUGCGCACCACAACCAUCUUUGAGGCUUAUCACUAGGAGAUUCCAACAGUUAUUGGCAAAACCUGCUCUCUGAGUUGAGCAAUCAUGCAGAAUCAGAGGACAACCGAUCCGAAUCAAGUAUGGUAUCAUAUUAUCAGAGACAGUCAGUGUAUCUAUAAUUAGGUAUGUAUGGAGUUUAUUCCUUUCCUAGCAACAAACCAUGGAGUAAUAUCAAGACUGGCCUAACAAUCAUACAGGAAUGUUUUUUUCUCCUUUUUUUUUAAAAAAAAAGGGGAAGAUGCUGGCAUCGGGUGCGGAUGAGAUGGAACCCCCUACUCGUCUCUCUAUACAUUAAAGAGACAAGUCCCAUCGCAGCAUCCCCUAAUUAGAUGACUGACUGACUAUACAUAUGAUGAGCUAUUAAUUAUGGUAGUAUAGCCUGCUGCUGCUCAGUUUGCUGCUUGCUACUACUGCACGAUGGAUAGAUGGAUGGAUAGAUGAUUCAUUUGCUGUUGUCGCGUGAUCCAGCAUAGCCGUAUGGGUUCUUGCUUGCCCAAUUCCACAGAUCUCUACACAUCUCCUCGAUCCCACUUUGCCCUGCAAGUUUUCAUAUUAUUUUCAUUAUUAAGGAUCGAGAGACAACAUGCUGAACCAUAUAAGCCACAACUAGCAAGCAUACUUACUUCCAUUUGAGCUCUUUCUUUGCCUUGGCAGUUGCGGCAUAGACAAUCUCUUGUCUCCAGGUCUUCACCCAGCAAACAUGGUUGUGGACGCUUUUAUUGGAAAGCAAUACACCAGGAAGAAGGCAACAGCAGCCUCUAGUGGCUAAGUAUCAGCCACAGUUGCCUGUUAGGAGGCUGUUCCUUUAAUUUAGGAUCUACGGAGGAGAAAUCGGAGUUCAGUUAUCAGCUUGUGGUGCACAGUCGGUCAUUAGGAUAUAUAGCUAAGGGCCAUCUGAUUAGGGAGGGUGAGCAGAGAUAAGAGUCAUCACAGUCAGAGCCACCCAGGGAGGGUGAACCAAUUCUAUUACUGCUGCCAUUUUUAGGUUUAGCCAUUGUAAUCAUUCUCCAAUUUGUCAAUAAAGAACAGCCAGAUUCCUAGCUCUAUCAAAACACCAGAGAAUUUUCUGUACAGAAUUCAGCCGGUCAACCAAUAACUCGGAUGAAUGAAACAUCCAUAUAUUGGUGAAGAUAUAUCCAUGCAUGAUGGUUUCAACGUUCAAAUAACUAAGGCUAAUUCGUUCAAGGUUGAUUUUACCUUCCCAGAAACCUUCUUCAAAUGCAGCCACCAUUUCCAACACCGAUGUCCCCUAUCCUGUCCCCAGAUUGUAUACUUCACACCCUAGUACCCUACAUGUACUACAACCAACCAAUAGAUGAGCAUUGCAUCAUUAGCGAGCUUCAGCUGACUGCUUGAAUAUACAACAGCUGAGUUGUCCAUGAAGUAUAAUUAGGAGGAUUCCCCGCGCAUUGCCACGGGUAUGAAGGAAUAUAAAUAUGUUAGAAUGUUAAUCACUAAGAAUCUAUAUGUAUGGUGUUGGUAAUGCAGCAAUAUAUGUUAAUAAAUGAUGUGGUUUGCUAAUGUGAAUAGCUUCAAUGAAGACAUAAUGACAUGUGUUAGUUGGAUGUGUUAGUGCAUGCUGAUGUGGACACUUUGCAUGACGAGAUAGUUGAAUGUGCCAGUGGGAUGUUCUAGUGUAUGCUGAUGUGGACACUUUGCAUGGCAAGAAAAAUAGCUAGUGGGGUUUAUCUUUACAAGAGAUGUACAAUUGGUAACCAACCUAUUUUGUCCGAUUCUUCAUAGAACUUCGUCAGGGCUGCUAUAUGGCCAUCAACCAGGUCAACAACGUGGAUGUAAUCACAUACCUAGCAGUUUUUUUAACAGCAAAAUAUACAUCAGUAAUGAGCUGAGUUUCUAGACUACAUAACAGAAUGAACACGGAGCAAACUAUUCAAAAACCCUCCAUAAAUCUUAUCAUCCCCAGACCCUGCUCCUAAUGUUCGCACUGAACACAUAUAUUAGAACAACAUAUUAGAAAAUAGAUAGAUAUGGUUCUGGAUUGUUUCAGAAAUAUAUAUUCUAGAACUUUUAGCUAGCUAGAUAGCACAUCUCAUGGAGGCAAAACUCAGCAGCUCAGAUCAAUUAGCAACCAGCAGAGGAGCGACUAUCUGGGAUAGUUGCCUGAGAAGGAUGGUGAUGGUUACCUAAGAAGGAUGCAAGGCAACAACUUCAUCAGAGCUCGUGUGGUUCAAUCAGUGGGAGGAGCAACAAGAAGCAGCGGUCAGAGGGCGAGGCUCUGAUAAGUUGACCUUGUGCUGUUUCAUAGGUGGAAUUAUUAUAUCCCCAACAAAGUAUAGUAUUGACUCCUAACUACUCUUAGCUUUUGCGGCCGAACUUAUGAGCCAUGACCUAAACAUGCAGGCCAAGAAAUAGCCUGUUCCUUUGUGAACUGCACACACAACGAGAAGUUUUCACACACAUGACCAAAAAGUACAGCCACACUCAUGAUAGUAAUUUAGUAUGUCUAUCCAUUUGUUUGAUCAACCAAGAUUCAUCACGGUCAUGGUGCACAAUUAGGAUUUAGGACCAUUAAUGCCAAGGUUGUCUGCCCAAAGUAUUGUUGGAAGAAUGGAAGUGGUUAAAUAUGAGUUUGUCGGAAAAGAAAACAUUCUUUAGAUUUUAGAACAAAAUGACUAAAUGAGCAAUUAAUCCAAGUAAGCUUGUGUGUCCGAACCAAAAAAUAUGCAUCGAUAUCUACCCAGGUCAGGAAUCUUAAAUGUCAUCAAAUCCAAGUUAGUCCCAUUAGUAACAUGAUCCUGGUCCCAAGUUGAAAUCACUAGAAAAGGCAGGAUACCAUGAAGGAAAGAGAAUCAUAAACAUAAGUAUGAGGAUCAUAAUCAAAGUACAGAACAGAAUACUUGUCGAAGCACCACAUCAUUUUGAAUGCUCAGAUUUGCCCCAGUAUCAACACAAUAUUUGUAUAAGCACCAUGUACUCCCUCCCUCUCUAAAUGAACUAAGUAGGAACGUUCAUUCGAAUAUAUACAAUAUACUACACCACCACAGCAGCAAUGGCAACAAUUAGUUGCAAACUAGAUCCUAGUUUGGCAGCAAAUCAAGCAAAAUAACAAAGCAAACAAUUCAGGAUGUUGCAAAGUAAUAGCCCUAUAGGGUUGGGACGUCUGAUCAUUAGACACUGAAGAACAGUUCCAAACAAGAAAGAAAGGUGAAUAGACAGGCAUCAAAAAAACAUCAGAAAAGAAAACGUAUAGGAACUACCAAAAUGGAUCAAUGCUGCAGCACGGCUAUAAUAGUUGUGAUGGCCUCUUAAGUUCAAACUCAUCCAGCUCCAACUUGAAGAGUGCAUGAUCUCAACAUCUCAUGAAACUACUGCAAUAAAUUCUGGGAUCAACAAACUUAACCAAAAAUAUCCGUCAUGCAAACCAAGGACAAUGCAAACACUGACAGCAGAAUCAACGGCAAAAAUUAGGAAACAUUUCAACCAACAAAUCAACAAAAUUCAAAUGGGAAUACAUAGCAUUAAGAGACAAGCACAACAAAAGGAAAAAGGAUACAACGUCCUUCUCUAUUCUUUUUUUCUCUUUUUUUGUGUGUAUUUGGGGGGUUGGGGGGCUCAGCUUCGCCUUUGCUCAUUCAUUCAACCAUAUCCUCAUCAUCUCUGAUCACCAGAGCAACUUGUUCUGAUAAAUGAACCUGCCCUGGUUAUCACCCAUGAAGAAUGGCAUGACCAUCCAAGGACAAAGCCACUACCGUUAGAACAUAAUUGAAAAGGUUUCCGAGAGAAAGAAGAGGAUUCCAGUUUGGUUCCCAUAGCAGCCUUGAUUGCUCAAAGGCGCUUAUGUCAGCCAUGGUUGUUGAUCAUUGCCCGAGAUGAGAAUAUUUUUUACUUUCUUCAUUCUUGAGGGGCACUUCGGUACGAACUUAUGAGAUGGAACUAACUUGGCAUAUUAUUAGUCCCACUAACAAUGACCCAGGUCCCAG